AUCUGAACCAUCCGAUCAACAAUCUCAAAUCUCAAUACUCAGAAGAAAAAAAC
This 53-nucleotide small RNA is filed under the name Arabidopsis thaliana (thale cress). Its description in RNAcentral is "ATSL020500". Lineage: Eukaryota; Viridiplantae; Streptophyta; Magnoliopsida; Brassicales; Brassicaceae. The record is from RNAcentral.